This 253-nucleotide ribosomal RNA is filed under the name uncultured bacterium. Its description in RNAcentral is "partial 16S ribosomal RNA". It matches the Rfam family "Bacterial small subunit ribosomal RNA", at positions 524 to 776 of the family's 1533-position model. The record is from RNAcentral.
UACGGAGGGUGCAAGCGUUAUCCGGAUUCACUGGGUUUAAAGGGUGCGUAGGCGGGCAGGUAAGUCCGUGGUGAAAUCUCUGAGCUUAACUCAGAAACUGCCAUGGAUACUAUUUGUCUUGAAUAUUGUGGAGGUAAGCGGAAUAUGUCAUGUAGCGGUGAAAUGCUUAGAUAUGACAUAGAACAUCGAUUGCGAAGGCAGCUCGCUACACUAUGAUUGACACUGAGGCACGAAAGCGUGGGGAUCAAACAGG